GAUGAACGCUAGCUACAGGCUUAACACAUGCAAGUCGAGGGGAAACGACAUCGAAAGCUUGCUUUUGAUGGGCGUCGACCGGCGCACGGGUGAGUAACGCGUAUCCAACCUGCCCAUCACUUGGGAAUAACCUUGCGAAAGUAAGACUAAUACCCAAUGAUAUCCCACGAAGGCAGCGGAAUGGGAUGAAAGAUUUAUCGGUGAUGGAUGGGGAUGCGUCUGAUUAGCUUGUUGUCGGGGUACCGGCCCACCAAGGCAACGAUCAGUAGGUGUUCUGAGAGUCAUGUCCCCGACAAUGGACUGGAGGUUCGGUCCAAACAUCUACUGUAGCGAGCAGUGCGUAAUAUUGGGCAAUGGGGUCGACACUGAACCAGCCAAGUAGCGUGCAGGAAGACGACCCUAUGGCUGCUAAACUGCUAUUACAAGUGAAUAAUGUGGGUUCAGUGUGACUUUUUGCAUGUACCUGAUGAAUAAGGACCGGCUAAUUCCGUG
RNAcentral lists this ribosomal RNA (492 nucleotides) under uncultured bacterium. Its description in RNAcentral is "partial 16S ribosomal RNA". It matches the Rfam family "Bacterial small subunit ribosomal RNA", at positions 28 to 507 of the family's 1533-position model. The record is from RNAcentral.